CGUAGGGUGCGAGCGUUAAUCGGAAUUACUGGGCGUAAAGCGUGCGCAGGCGGUUAUGUAAGACAGAUGUGAAAUCCCCGGGCUCAACCUGGGACCUGCAUUUGUGACUGCAUAGCUAGAGUACGGUAGAGGGGGAUGGAAUUCCGCGUGUAGCAGUGAAAUGCGUAGAUAUGCGGAGGAACACCGAUGGCGAAGGCAAUCCCCUGGACCUGUACUGACGCUCAUGCACGAAAGCGUGGGGAGCAAACAGGAUUAGAUACCCUGGUAGUCCACGCCCUAAACGACGUCAACUGGUUGUUGGGUCUUCACUGACUCAGUAACGAAGCUAACGCGUGAAGUUGACCGCCUGGGGAGUACGGCCGCAAGGUUG
RNAcentral lists this ribosomal RNA (370 nucleotides) under uncultured organism. RNAcentral's name for it is "bacterial SSU rRNA". It matches the Rfam family "Bacterial small subunit ribosomal RNA", at positions 526 to 896 of the family's 1533-position model. The record is from RNAcentral.